AAUCCAUAGGUUAAUGAGGCGAACCGGGGGAACUGAAACAUCUAAGUACCCCGAGGAAAAGAAAUCAACCGAGAUUCCCCCAGUAGCGGCGAGCGAACGGGGAGGAGCCCAGAGCCUGAAUCAGCAUGUGUGUUAGUGGAAGCGUCUGGAAAGGCGCGCGAUACAGGGUGACAGCCCCGUACACAAAAGCGCAUGUGCUGUGAGCUCGAUGAGUAGGGCGGGACACGUGGUAUCCUGUCUGAAUAUGGGGGGACCAUCCUCCAAGGCUAAAUACUCCUGACUGACCGAUAGUGAACCAGUACCGUGAGGGAAAGGCGAAAAGAACCCCGGCGAGGGGAGUGAAAAAGAACCUGAAACCGUGUACGUACAAGCAGUGGGAGCACAGGUUUACCUGUGUGACUGCGUACCUUUUGUAUAAUGGGUCAGCGACUUAUAUUCUGU
Molecule: ribosomal RNA, 441 nt
Filed under: Salmonella enterica subsp. enterica serovar Muenchen
Lineage: Bacteria; Pseudomonadati; Pseudomonadota; Gammaproteobacteria; Enterobacterales; Enterobacteriaceae
Also listed under: 3 other names
Description: partial 23S ribosomal RNA
Rfam family: Bacterial large subunit ribosomal RNA
Source: RNAcentral